AUUGAACGCUGGCGGCAGGCCUAACACAUGCAAGUCGAGCGAGCGGCGGACGGGUGAGUAAUGUAUGGGGACUGCCCGAUAGAGGGGGAUAACUACUGUAAACGGUGGCUAAUACCGCAUACGAUCGGAUGACACAUAGUGGAUUAGCUAGUCGGUGGGGUAAAGGCUCACCUAGGCGACGAUCCCUAGCUGGUCUGAGAGGAUGAUCAGCCACACUGGGACUGAGACACGGCCCAGACUCCUACGGAGGCAGCAGUGGGGAAUCUUGCGCAAUGGGCUAAAGCCUGAUGCAGCCAUGCCGCGUGUAUGAAGAAGGCCUUAGGGUUGUAAAGUACUUUCGGCGGAGAGGCGUUACCCGCAGAAGAAGCCCCGGCUAACUCCGUGCCAGCAGCCGCGGUAAUUC
Molecule: ribosomal RNA, 403 nt
Filed under: uncultured bacterium
Lineage: Bacteria
Description: partial 16S ribosomal RNA
Rfam family: Bacterial small subunit ribosomal RNA
Source: RNAcentral